GGCUGAGGAGGGCAGUAGCCCUGUCCGGCGGCGCCAUAUCUGAAGUGCCAACUGUUGCUGUCGACUCCAGCGCCCACUGGGGGUGAGAGUUCACCACCAUCUCCAUCUACUCAGCAAACUGGCACAGAGAUACUGGGAACUGGUACAGCUUAUAUCUCGAACAAUUUCCCAGCUCUCUUUUCCACCGAGGGAAAAGCUGACAGACAGCAAGACAUACUGUCACUGACUCGCCGAUUGAUUGACUGUGAUGCGACUCCUCACCCUCAAGUCUCUACCUAUGUUCUAAUUCCUGCAGCUAGACAGAAAAUCAAUGCAUGGAAGGUUGGCUGGAAGGAGGAGGGAACAGCUCACAAUGUUCCAAAUGCUGUUUCGAAAGUCAAAGUUUCAAAAGUUUUCAAGUCAACUGACAAAAGCUGUUAAGACAUCAGCCCUGAGCCAGUGUUUCUGUGAAGCACAGGUCAUGUUCGAGGCCAGUUCUACUUAUAAUUAUGUUGUGUUGCUAACAUUUUUAAUGUCGACUCCCACUCAGAACAACUCAUUUCUUAUUAAAAAACAUUUGCCUUUUUCA
Sander lucioperca (pikeperch) is the source of this 568-nucleotide long non-coding RNA. RefSeq lists it as uncharacterized. NCBI's taxonomy places the organism in Eukaryota, Metazoa, Chordata, Actinopteri, Perciformes, Percidae. The transcript has 2 exons. The record is from RefSeq and is a predicted model, not a curated record.